Molecule: ribosomal RNA, 459 nt
Filed under: uncultured bacterium
Lineage: Bacteria
Description: partial 16S ribosomal RNA
Rfam family: Bacterial small subunit ribosomal RNA
Source: RNAcentral
CCUACGGGUGGCAGCAGUGAGGAAUAUUGGUCAAUGGGCGCGAGCCUGAACCAGCCAAGUCGCGUGAGGGAAGACGGUCCUAUGGAUUGUAAACCUCUUUUGUCGGGGAGCAAAAGACGCCACGCGUGGCGUUCCGCGAGUACCCGAAGAAAAAGCAUCGACAAACUCCGCGCCAGCAGCCGCGGUAAUCCGGAGGAUGCGAGCGUUAUCCGGAUUUAGUGGGUUUAAAGGGUGCGCGGGCGGAAUAUCAAGUCAGCGGUAAAAUUGGGGGGCUAAACCUCUGCGUGCCGUUGAAACUGGGUUUCUUGAGUGGGCGAGAAGUAUGCGGAAUGCGUGGUGUAGCGGUGAAAUGCAUAGAUAUCACGCAGAACUCCGAUUGCGAAGGCAGCAUACCGGAGCUCAACUGACGCUCAUGCACGAAAGUGUGGGUAUCGAACAGGAUUAGAUACCCCUGUAGUC